Gasterosteus aculeatus aculeatus (three-spined stickleback) is the source of this 820-nucleotide long non-coding RNA. Lineage: Eukaryota; Metazoa; Chordata; Actinopteri; Perciformes; Gasterosteidae. The record is from Ensembl.
CAAUGAAGGUGUGAAGGACAUUUAUAUGUGUCUGACUCGCCACCAAGUCGAUUCAUCUGGCUGGAGACUAAUUAAAAGGUAAAUACUAAAAGGAGAUGAUGAUCAGCACACAUGCACACUCUCACACACACACACACAUGCAGUGGGACACACUCUCACACACACGUGCAGUGGGACACACUCUCACACACACACGCAAUGGGACACACUCUCACACACACACGCAAUGGGACACACUCUCACACACACGUGCAGUGGGACACACUCUCACACACACACGCAGUGGGACACACUCUCACACACACACGCAAUGGGACACACUCUCACACACACAUGUAGUGGGACACACUCUCACACACACAUGCAGUGGGACACUCUCACACACAUGCAGUGGGACACUCUCACACACAUGCAGUGGGACACACUCUCACACACAUGCAGUGGGACACACACACACAUGCAGUAGGACACACACACACACGUAUGCAGUAGGACACACUCUCACACACACAUGUAGUGGGACACACUCACACACACAUGCAGUGGGACACACACGUGCAGGGGGACACACUCUCACACACACAUGCAGUGGGACACUCUCACACACAUGCAGUGGGACACACACACACACGCAGUGGGACACACUCUCACACACACGCCCAGGGGGACAUACUCUCACACACACAUGCAGUGGGACACACUCUCACACACAUGCAGUGGGACACACUCUCACACACACGUGCAAUAGGAGACACACACACACAAACACGUGCAGUGGGACACACUCUCACACACACAUGCAAUAGGAGACACACACACA